UGCUACGUCGACCGGGUUGUCCCCACCAGCACCCAUUCUCUCUCUCUCUCUCCUCAAUGCUGUCCUUAAUAUCACCGCUGUCAGAACAUUCCCACUCAGUCAACGAAGUAUUCACAUUCGUGUAGAAAGUGCGACGAAGAACUAUCUGAAAAUCGGCAUCCUACACAAAUUAUAACAAGAGAGCGAAAUGGCUGCUAGUCAAUAUUAUCAUGUACAGUGCACGCCCACCGUGUAUCCGGCCGAUCCUUUUGAUCCCGAGGCAGAUGCCAAUCUUCUACGAACUGCGAUGAAGGGUUUCGGGACCGAUGAACAGACCAUCAUCGAUGUUUUGGCUCAUCGGGGCAUCGUGCAGCGACUGGAAAUCGCUGACAAAUUCAAGACGAUGUACGGUAAGGACCUCAUCUCCGAAUUGAAGUCAGAGUUGUCCGGAAACUUCGAGAAGGUCAUUCUGGCCCUGAUGACACCUCUUCCCGAGUAUUACGCUAAGGAAUUGCACGAAGCCAUUUCCGGCAUGGGCACCGACGAGGGUGCACUCAUUGAGGUCCUCGCGUCCCUGAGCAACUAUGGCAUCAAGGCGAUAUCAGCCGUUUACAAAGAUAAGUACGACUCAGAACUGGAAGAUGAUCUUAAGAGCGAUACCUCUGGUUAUUUCAAGAGACUUUUGGUGUCAUUGUCUUGCGCCAGCAGAAACGAAAGUCCUGAUGUCGACGAGGCGGCCGCACGUCAAGAUGCAGAGAGACUUCACGAAGCGGGAGAGGGACAGUGGGGUACCGACGAGAGCACUUUCAACGCAAUCCUCGUUACUAAGAGUUACCCUCAAUUGCGAAGGAUCUUCAAGGAAUAUGAGAAUAUUUCCGGACACACCUUGGAGCAUGCUAUCAAGCGAGAAUUCUCUGGUUCUGUUGAAGACGGCUACUUAGCUGUGGUGAAAUGCGCUACCGACAAGACUGCUUAUUUCUCGGAAAGACUAUACAAAGCUAUGCGUGGAAUGGGCACGACAGAUUCAACGCUGAUCCGCAUCAUUGUAGCUCGAUCGGAGAUUGAUCUGGGCGAUAUUAAAGAUACAUAUGAGAGACUUUAUGGGAAAUCCCUUGCAGCAGCUAUCGAUGACGACUGUUCAGGCGACUACAAGAGACUCUUGCUUGCUCUUCUCGGAUGAAAAUAUUUUAAUCGUGCAACAGCCUUUUUUUAUUGAAAAUUCGCGGAGAUUAUAUAGCGUUAUAUAUUAUACUGCAAAGAUCUUGAUUAAUUUAUAGUUCCUUAUAUUUCGCUGAUUGUUAAUGGACGAUUGCACCGCCGAGUGGAAAAGACUUUUGAUAGCAAUGUUGAAUUAAAAGUAUCUACAACUUGUGCGAGAUAAUUAUAAUACAAAAAAAUUAUGUUUGAAACAAUGGAGUAUAAGUGUAAAAAGAAACAUUUGUAAUGUGUAAUCAGUCAUUUAAUUAAUAAUAGGUACAGAUCUACAAGAGCACAGAAAUAAAAUGUAAUGUUUGUAACAAAAUAUAAAGAACAUAAAAUAUUACAGUAUUACUUUGCAUAAACAAAUAUAAAAAAACGUUAUAUUAUAUAAAGUUUAAAUUACCAUGCAAGUAUAAAAGCGAAAAUAAAAGAAGCAUCUUAGAUGUACUUUGCAUUGACAUAUUCUGAAAAAAAUGUAGUUUAUAAAUAUGAAAAACUUACAAUACUUCGUAUAGAGAUUCUUUGUACUGAAUACAUUAUACCAUAAUUACACUAGGUGUAUUUAUUUUUGUUAUUUUGCGAAAGAACGGUAACAGAUUGUUUUUAACCUCGUUUUUUACAUAUUCAGUCUUCUUACUUAGUUCAGUCUGGACACAACCUAAAUGUAUUUUAGUAAUUUUGAGUUUCAUUAUUUUUCCCAAAAUCUCGAAACACGCGCGAAACUUAUCGUUUUUAAUCGGUAUGUGUAUAUCAUAAAUAUGUAAGCAAAUUUCAAUGUCCAAUGCAUCUACAAUGUCCUCCCCAAAGCAAAUAGGUGGUGGAUUUCGUGCUAAAAAUAUAUAUUCUAUUUAAUAAAAUA
RNA transcript from Solenopsis invicta (red fire ant), 2038 nucleotides. It is a transcript of the gene named annexin B9, with no coding region annotated. The record is from RefSeq and is a predicted model, not a curated record. The transcript has 8 exons. NCBI's taxonomy places the organism in Eukaryota, Metazoa, Arthropoda, Insecta, Hymenoptera, Formicidae.